Molecule: ribosomal RNA, 726 nt
Filed under: uncultured bacterium
Lineage: Bacteria
Description: bacterial SSU rRNA
Rfam family: Bacterial small subunit ribosomal RNA
Source: RNAcentral
ACCGGCGCACGGGUGCGUAACACGUAUGGAACUUGCCCUGUACUGGGGGAUAGCCCGGAGAAAUCCGGAUUAAUACCCCAUAACAUGCGAGGAGGCAUCUCCUUGUUUUGAAAGAAUUUCGGUACAGGAUAGCCAUGCGUCCGAUUAGCUAGUUGGUGAGGUAACGGCUCACCAAGGCGACGAUCGGUAGGGGGCCUGAGAGGGUUAUCCCCCACACUGGUACUGAGACACGGACCAGACUCCUACGGGAGGCAGCAGCGAGGAAUAUUGCGCAAUGGAGGCAACUCUGACGCAGCCAUGCCGCGUGCAGGAAGACGGCCCUACGGGUUGUAAACUGCUUUUAUUCGGGAAGAAACCCCUUUACGUGUAGAGGGUUGACGGUACCGAAGGAAUAAGCACCGGCUAACUCCGUGCCAGCAGCCGCGGUAAUACGGAGGGUGCAAGCGUUAUCCGGAUUCAUUGGGUUUAAAGGGUGCGUAGGCGGGGUGGUAAGUCAGUGGUGAAAUCCUGCAGCUCAACUGUAGAAUUGCCAUUGAUACUGCCAUUCUUGAGUGCGCUUGAAGUAGGCGGAAUGUGCCGUGUAGCGGUGAAAUGCUUAGAUAUGGCACAGAACACCAAUUGCGAAGGCAGCUUACUAAGGCGAUACUGACGCUGAGGCACGAAAGCGUGGGGAUCGAACAGGAUUAGAUACCCUGGUAGUCCACGCCGUANACGAUGAUCACUCGU